GUCUAUUUUACCUUCGGUUUUGUGAUACAUUUUUCAGUUAACCUCCGAUCACUGUUUAGUGAAUAUAUAUUUCAAUCAAGGAGCUGAAUUGAUUUGAAGGUUGUAACAUUGGACACAGAUCUAGCCUGUACUGUCUAGUAUUUCAUCUCCAUGAUUAAAAUAAAUCUCAAACUAUUGAACUCUAGCAUUAACAGUAACUUGAUGAUAAUUUUUUUUUUUU
Non-coding RNA from Pelobates cultripes (western spadefoot toad), 220 nucleotides. NCBI's taxonomy places the organism in Eukaryota, Metazoa, Chordata, Amphibia, Anura, Pelobatidae. The record is from the annotation of a GenBank genome assembly.